This 180-nucleotide ribosomal RNA is filed under the name uncultured Glomeromycotina. RNAcentral describes it as "partial small subunit ribosomal RNA". Lineage: Eukaryota; Fungi; Glomeromycota. The record is from RNAcentral.
GGCCUGGCUGGGCGGUCCGCCCUUCGGGUGAGUACUGCCUGUGGUCGGGUCCUACCUUCUGGCGAAGCGUCAUGGCCUUCACCGGCCGUGGCGGGGAACCAGGACUUUUACUGUGAAAAAAUUAGAGUGUUCAAAGCAGGCAAUCGAGCCUUGAAUACUUCAGCAUGGGAUAAUGGAACA